Molecule: non-coding RNA, 56 nt
Filed under: Bordetella genomosp. 1
Lineage: Bacteria; Pseudomonadati; Pseudomonadota; Betaproteobacteria; Burkholderiales; Alcaligenaceae
Description: Bordetella genomosp. Li+-I sequence
Rfam family: nhaA-I RNA
About the family: Acidobacteria, Alphaproteobacteria, Betaproteobacteria and Gammaproteobacteria, Verrucomicrobia, cand. division NC10. Downstream gene
Source: RNAcentral
GGGUGUCGGCUGCAUUCCGCGGUACGGCAGGUUCAUGCGUCGGUCGGGCCGCCACG